RNAcentral lists this ribosomal RNA (481 nucleotides) under uncultured bacterium. Its description in RNAcentral is "partial 16S ribosomal RNA". It matches the Rfam family "Bacterial small subunit ribosomal RNA", at positions 28 to 507 of the family's 1533-position model. The record is from RNAcentral.
GAUGAACGCUGGCGGCGUGCUUAACACAUGCCAGUCGAACGAAGCACUUUAUUUGAUUUCCUUCGGGACUGAUUAUUUUGUGACUGAGUGGCGGACGGGUGAGUAACGCGUGGGUAACCUGCCUUGUACAGGGGGAUAACAGUUGGAAACGGCUGCUAAUACCGCAUAAGCGCACGGCAUCGCAUGAUGCAGUGUGAAAAACUCCGGUGGUAUAAGAUGGACCCGCGUUGGAUUAGCUAGUUGGUGAGGUAACGGCCCACCAAGGCGACGAUCCAUAGCCGACCUGAGAGGGUGACCGGCCACAUUGGGACUGAGACACGGCCCAAACUCCUACGGGAGGCAGCAGUGGGGAAUAUUGCACAAUGGGCGAAAGCCUGAUGCAGCGACGCCGCGUGAGCGAAGAAAUAUUUCGGUAUGUAAAGCUCUAUCAGCAGGGAAGAUAAUGACGGUACCUGACUAAGAAGCACCGGCUAAAUACGUG